RNAcentral lists this ribosomal RNA (720 nucleotides) under Triticum aestivum (bread wheat). RNAcentral's name for it is "partial small subunit ribosomal RNA". The record is from RNAcentral. Lineage: Eukaryota; Viridiplantae; Streptophyta; Magnoliopsida; Poales; Poaceae.
CAAGCCACUAUUAGUACUUGCUCAAUUUGCGGAGUGGAUGAUGAAAGUAUGUUUCAUGCGCUUGUCCAGUGCCCGAAGGCUUAUGCUUCGCGUAUGGCUAUGAGGGACACUUGGGAUUUACCGGCGGAGGAGGUGUUCAGGUACACGGGAAGGGAUUGGUUUCUUAUUCUUCUAAAUCAUUUGAGUCCUAUGAUGCGUGACCGAAUUAUCUUCAUUUUCUGGAGAGCCUGGCAUUUGAGAAAUGAUUUGAUUUUUGGUAAGGGGAAGGAAUCCGUCUCAAGCUCUCCUAAUUUUGUGGUGAAUUACUGGACGUCUUUUGUUGCUUGCCACUCCUAUCCAAUGGUGGAUUUGAAGAAUAAAGGUAAAAGCCUCGUUCCUGGACUACGAACUGCUCCUAAUACCUUGGGAACUCAGGUGGCCUGGCAACCCCCUCCUUCGGAAUACAUCAAGAUAAAUGUCGACGCAAGUUUUGUGGAGGACAUUAGCGCUGCAAGUGUGGGUGUGGUAGCCAGGGAUUCCUAUGGGAAUGUCAUAGUUUCUUCUUGGGAUUUCAUUGGGCUUUGUAAAAGCGCGGAGGAAGCAGAACUCCGGGCAUGUAUUGCUGGCCUUUAUAUAGGUAUUACUCUACACAAUCCUGAAAUUUUAGAGACUGAAUGUGCGUUUGUUGUUGCGUCUCUUGCAAAGGAUAAUUUUGACAGGUCAGCACUUUUUGAUUUGUAG